Acinonyx jubatus (cheetah) is the source of this 4485-nucleotide long non-coding RNA. RefSeq lists it as uncharacterized. The transcript has 4 exons. The record is from RefSeq and is a predicted model, not a curated record. NCBI's taxonomy places the organism in Eukaryota, Metazoa, Chordata, Mammalia, Carnivora, Felidae.
AUGACAGUUUAAUGGAGCCUUCAUAAAAUAGUCUGGAAUCUUGUUCUCAGUGAUUUUCCAAUUCCUUUUCCAAUGUACUUCUUGAGCAUUGUCACUGAGAUCUAUCCAGGUGGAAAAGCAGCUGGAACCAGAGCAUUCCUCAGCAUUGGCUCAUCACAGAGCCAUAAAAAUGACAAAUUCCUGUGAGUCCAAGUUCCAGAUACCCCAGCCUGGCACACACCGGUGCUGUUGGGGAGAGAACCACAGACUCUUGCUUGGGUUUCUCCCUCUAGGGAAAAAAGCCACAAAGAGUCUUGGAUGCUCAGCUCAGUCCAUUUCAGUGGGCAUGUGUUCUCUACUAAUCGAUACUCAAUUUUGCCACCCGGGAGGGUGCUGUUUUGAGCAGCUGUAUGUCUAUAGGAAAUAAUAAAGUGAUUUAUUUUUAUGUUGAAAACUUCAAUAUUUGAUACACAUUCUAGCAAUAUUGCCUCCCGCCCACCACGCCUCUACCUCUAAUGCUUAAUCGUAAUGAGUUGUAGUUGCAACAGAUUAAAUCAAUUGAGAUUGAAAAUGAGAUGUAAAAAAAAAAAAAAAAAGGUAGAAAAGCAUAUCCUUUGUGGUCAAUGCUAAUCUUGCAAAGGAUUUUUUUUCUGUAAGGAAGUCUGCCAAGAGCAAAGAAGACAAUGAGGAUAGAAAGUGACUCACUGAAUCAGCAGCUUCAGAGAGGUAGGAAAGAGCUGGAAUUAGCUUGUGUUUUGGCAAAGAGAAGAGAAUCAAGAGGCUGGUUGGGGCCCCCCAGAAACGCAUCCUGUGAGAUGUGAAGGAGGAGUGUGUGUGACCGAGGGGGUCAGGAGGAUGGGGGACCAUGCUGCUUCAGAGGGAGGGUCAUCCGGGCCUCCAACAAUGUGGCCUCCACCCUCUCACACCUUAGCUCCCGGCAGGGCUCCUUCCUUUUUCCUGGAUUAGCUUCCUAUUCCGGACUCAACCUUCAAUGCUCCCUUUAAGUCAAUAAACUCUCCAAGAUGUGACUGUUCUCUCUACCCACUUCACUUCUGCUUGGGUUGUCACAGAUAUGGACUGUCAGAGCCUGGAUGACCACGUGGAACCUGCUUGAUAAGAAAAUUGGAUUGGUGGGGGUCACUCCCUUGGGACCCCAGCACUUAGUUCACCAGACUAAGAAAGCUGAGGCUAUAGGAUGCUGUUAAAACAAAGUCUCCCUAGGGGUGCCCGGGUGGCUCAGUAGGUUGAGCGUCCUACUUUGGCUCAGGUCAUGAUCUCGCAGUCUGUGGGUUCGAGCCCCACGUUGGGCUCUGUGCUGAGAGCUCGGAGCCUGCUUCCAGUUCUGUGUCUCCCUCUCUCUCUGCCUCUCCCCCGCUCAUGCUCUGUCUCUCUCUCUCUCUCUGUCAAAAAUAAAUAAACAUUUUUAAAAAAUUAAAAAACAAAACAAAACAAAGUCUCCCCAGACUUUCUCAAAUAAUCAUGGCCUGGAAUUAUCCCAAGCAUUUUGCAACCCCCUUCUGCCAUCACUCCUUGACUGUCAAAAAAGCUCCCAGUAAUGAAGAAGGAAGUCAUUUGUGUGUCCAUUUGAUAAUUGUCACAUACCUGCGAUAUGUCUGGUACUGGUGGUCAUAUUCAGGAUUCUUCAUGAAGACGGACGAGUGUCUACUCUCAUGAAACUAUAGCCCAAUGAGACAAUGGUGAACAAAUAAGCUGGAUCAUUUCAUGUGUUAAUAAAGGAUAUGGAGAAAUUCAAAUGCAGUGAUGUAGUACAGGGUGACUUUGGAGGGCCCACCUCAGUCUGAUUGGUCAAGAAGACCCUUCUGCGGAGAUGACAUCUAAACUGAGGUCAGAACAGAGAAGGAGGCAGACGUGACAAUGCCUAAGCAAGAGUGAGGUGGGGGGAGCCUUAAUAAGGGGCCUAAAUGGGGAGAUGUAUGGCUAGUUCAGUGGGAUGUGACUAGUGGUUCCCAACAGGACUGAUUCCCACCCUGGGUGAUUGGCAGUGUCUGGAGACAUUUUUGUUGUCACAGUGUGGGAGGGUGCUGCUGGCAGCUCAUGGAGAGGGCCAGAGAUGGCUCUAAACAUCCUCCACAAACAAAGAUAUAUUGGGACCAAAACGUCACUGAUGCUGAAAUUGAGAAACCCUGAACUAGAGGCUGUGCAUGAAGGCGCGGGUGGACAAGCUAUGGUGGGGAGGUCACAGGGUCGUAUCAGACCCUUGGGCACUCAUGACGAGUUUGGGCUUCAUUCCAGGGUGAUGGAAGGCCCCUGGAUACUCCUCCUUAGGAGCCCCGUGUGGUCUCCACAUCUUUUUUUUCUUUUAGUUAGGCAAAUACUACCUUUGGAAAGUGAUAGUAGAGGUGGGAAGGAAGUGGUACAUAAUUUACAGUUGUGGUAGUUGAGAGUAUUUACUGUGAUCACGCUCAUAAACGUAUGCUUGUUAAAAUCAGGGACAUCAUCAAGGAGUUGACUGGUUUCAGAUGAAGUGUGUCUGUUGCUCACAUAGGGAUGUUGGAAGGAUCGUUUAAGCUUUGCAUGGGAACUGUACCCUGUGUAUGAGACGUUAAAGUCUAGUAUAAUAAAUGCGUUGCAUGAUUUAAGAGAAAAUAUUAUGCAUAUCUUUUUAAAUAGACCGUGAUUGAUGCCUAAGUUGUUCUCUGCAGACUGUGUGUGUUGGGGGCUCCUUUAUUUCUGCAGGCUCGAAACAGGCAUUCGUGUACAUUCUCAUUCAAAACGCAAAGUCGAAGGCACAGAUUUUUUGAGGAAAGCUCUCAACUCGAUGCCAAAGAAAAAGGGGGGGGGGGCAUAGUUGAAAAAAUUGAGGGCCAUCGAGGAAACAGCUACAGCAAAGGAAGACAGACAUGCUGAGCAGUGACUGAAAGACAGCGGUGAAGCAGCACAUGGCAGGGACCCUGGGUAGAAAGCGCUGCCUACAGGGCUCCCUAGUUUCCCUCCAUACUUGAUUCCUUUCUCUUUUUUUCCCCUUGGCAUGCUGGUGUUACAGUUACCUCCUCCUCUGUGGCAUCCUGUCUGACCCCUACAUCUCUCUUCCCCAAAGUGCCUGUCAUGUUUCCCAUUUCCUCAUGAUCUCUAGUGUAAAUUGCUAGCCACUUGAAUAAACAAUAAAGUGAGGACAAGCUAAUGUAAUCAGUUGUUGUUAAUUCAUAACGAUUGCCAUUAUCUUCCAUGAUCACACUUCGAUUCAUUAAAACGCGCCCAGUGCCUGAGCUGCAGGCCACACCCAGUAGGCGUGGACUUCCGGGAAAGGCUGAGGCGGGCGCCAUUUUGACUUCCGGUUUCUGGUAGUCGCAUGCUCACUAGGUCACGGACGCGCCUGCAGGGGUCAGGCAGGAUGUAAGUUAGUGGCGCAGACCGUGUGUAAGACAGCCGUGAAAGAAAUGGUGCUGAACUGGAGAAUCAAGGGCCAUAUAAAGGCAGCACCUGCCACUCAGUGUCUACUGUGGGCCUCUUCCAGUGCGGCCAGAGCCUCCAGUUGAUCAACAGCAGUUUCCAAUAGAAACUUCCUUGUGUAAAAUCCCCUCCGCUUUAAAAUUCAAUGCAGGCCACCUGUAGGACUCCCGAGAUUCCCUGGAGAUCUGGCUUCUUCCAAGUGAAGACUGGCGGCAGCUCUGGAGGCGGUGAUGUUCAGGAAAUCCCACCUGUCCUCUCCCUGCUCAUCCGUCGGGACCCCCACUUAACUGCCCCCCACGCCCCAGCCACGUGUGUGCACCCCACAGGCUGUAUCUGCACUGUUUGCCUUCUGAGGAGCCCAGCACCAGGACCCAGCCCAUGGGCAUCCCCCCAUGGUGUUCAAAAGAGGGAGUAUUUCCUGCUGGUGGGGCUUAGUUGGAGGGGCCGGGUCCCCUACAGCAGGGCGCUGGGCGUCGGGCUGGGUCAGGGGAGAGAGCUACGUGCUGAGGCUGCUCUUCAGGGGAAGCCCGGAGAAACCAGCAGUGUGGGUCUCCUGGGACUCAACUCGCAGCUGUCGGGGAAAGACUGGCCUGGAGGAAGCAAAAGUUGUCAUUCCUACCAAGAAAAGAGGGGCAUUGAAUGAGUCUGCCGUUAUCUGCUGUUCAUGGGACCCUGCUAGCAGAUUUCAUCCAUGCAAAACGUUUUGUUCUAAGACAACGGAAGAGGACUUUUAGCAGGAGACAGCACAACAGGGCUUAAGCAUAGAAGGCAAACACAAUGACUAACGUGUGUCAGUGUCCAAGACUUAAGCUGGCUGCAAGAAAAUUCAGAAAAGUUUAAAGGCCACACCCCAGACUUCUGGGCCUAUCAGCUCACUUCUCUUCAGCCUUAGGGGCAGAAGACUUUGAAGAGCAUGACGGUGACCACGUCACUGCCUACUUCCUGAGGACUCAGCCACGAGCGCUCCUUUCGUUCAUCUGCAUGUAUCCAUGCCCCACCGCAUACGAUGCACACGGCGUUUUGUUGGAAAGGACAUGGCUCUGAAGUUAAAAGGAUCUGCCGAAAUAAUUGUUUCAACUAGAGUUUAAAAACCAU